CGAAGCAGUGAACUUAAGCCCCAGUAAACGGCGGCCGUAACUAUAACGGUCCUAAGGUAGCGAAAUUCCUUGUCGGGUAAGUUCCGACCCGCACGAAAGGCGUAACGAUUUGGGCACUGUCUCAACAACAGACUCGGUGAAAUUGUAAUUCCGGUGAAGAUGCCGGAUACCUGCGACAGGACGGAAAGACCCCAUGGAGCUUUACUGUAGCUUGACAUUGGGUCUUGGUACUACAUGUACAGGAUAGGUGGGAGGCUUUGAAACCAGGACGCCAGUUUUGGCGGAGCCAUCCUUGGGAUACCACCCUUGUAGUACUGGGACUCUAACCAUAGGCCAUGAAUCUGGUCUUGGGACACUGUCAGGUGGGCAGUUUGACUGGGGCGGUCGCCUCCCAAAAGGUAACGGAGGCGCUCAAAGGUUCUCUCAGUACGGUCGGAAAUCGUACGUAGAGUGUAAAGGCAAAAGAGAGCUUGAUUGCAAGACAUACAGGUCGAGCAAGGAUGAAAAUCGGACUUAGUGAUCCGGUGGUUCUGCGUGGAAGGGCCAUCGCUCAACGGAUAAAAGCUACCCUGGGGAUAA
RNAcentral lists this ribosomal RNA (579 nucleotides) under Clostridioides difficile. Its description in RNAcentral is "partial 23S ribosomal RNA". It matches the Rfam family "Bacterial large subunit ribosomal RNA", at positions 1900 to 2477 of the family's 2925-position model. The record is from RNAcentral. Lineage: Bacteria; Bacillati; Bacillota; Clostridia; Peptostreptococcales; Peptostreptococcaceae.